GGUCUAGAGUCUCUGUGUGUAGAGGACAGGUGGUCUAGUGUCUCUAUGUGUAGAGGACAGGUGGUCUAGUGUCUCUAUGUGUAGAGGACAGGUGGUCUAGUGUCUCUGUGUGUAGAGGACAGGUGGUCUAGUGUCUCUGUGUGUAGAGGAC
Molecule: long non-coding RNA, 151 nt
Organism: Oncorhynchus keta (chum salmon)
Lineage: Eukaryota; Metazoa; Chordata; Actinopteri; Salmoniformes; Salmonidae
Exons: 3
Source: RefSeq, a predicted model, not a curated record